Molecule: ribosomal RNA, 468 nt
Filed under: uncultured bacterium
Lineage: Bacteria
Description: partial 16S ribosomal RNA
Rfam family: Bacterial small subunit ribosomal RNA
Source: RNAcentral
ACGCACGCUGGCGGCGUGCUUAACACAUGCAAGUCGAACGGAAAGGCCCUGCUUGCAGGGUGCUCGAGUGGCGAACGGGUGAGUAACACGUGGGUGAUCUGCCCCUUACUUUGGGAUAAGCCUGGGAAACUGGGACUAAUACUGGAUAGGACCAUGCUGUAGGUGGUGUGGUGGAAAGAUUAGUUUCGGUAAGGGAUGAGCUCGCGGCCUAUCAGCUUGUUGGUGGGGUAAUGGCCUACCAAGGCGUCGACGGGUAGCCGGCCUGAGAGGGUGGACGGCCACAUUGGGACUGAGAUACGGCCCAGACUCCUACGGGAGGCAGCAGUGGGGAAUAUUGCACAAUGGGCGCAAGCCUGAUGCAGCGACGCCGCGUGGGGGAUGACGGCCUUCGGGUUGUAAACUCCUUUCAGCCAUGACGAAGCCCUUGUGGUGACGGUAGUGGUAGAAGAAGCACCGGCUAACUACGUG